Apis cerana (Asiatic honeybee) is the source of this 1443-nucleotide long non-coding RNA. RefSeq lists it as uncharacterized. The record is from RefSeq and is a predicted model, not a curated record. NCBI's taxonomy places the organism in Eukaryota, Metazoa, Arthropoda, Insecta, Hymenoptera, Apidae.
UGAUAAGCUUUUUCGAUCGAAACAAUUGGCGCAUAAGUGGCUAAGGGAAAAUGAAUCCUCGGAUAUGGGACUAAAUUCGUUUGAAACUCAGUUAAAUCGACGUUCAAUGCCCCAUCAAAUCUCAAUGAAGCCAUAUCAUAGAUCGCUUCAUUAUCCACGAGGAAAGCACAAUCUGAAUGUUCUAAGGUUGUAUGUGUAGUUAAGAUGGCGUUAUAAGGUUCUACUACUGCAGUGGAAAUUUGCGGAGAAGGAUAAAUUGCAAAUUCAAGCUUGGCUUUUUUGCCAUAAUCCAUGGAAAGUCGUUCCAUUAAUAGACUGGUGAAUCCAGAACCUGUGCCACCUCCAAAUGCGUGGAAAAUAAGGAAACCUUGAAGACCGGUACACAUGUCGGCGAUCUUGCGAAUUCUGUCAAGGACUAGAUCGAUUAUUUCUUUUCCCAGAGUGUAAUGGCCUCGAGCAUAGUUGUUUGCCGCAUCUUCUUUACCAGAAAUUAGUUGUUCGGGAUGGAACAAUUGAUGAUAAGUUCCAGUUCAAGAUCCAAAAAUACCGCUCGUGGAACAUAUUUCCCACCACCAGUUUCGCUAAAGAAAGUUUGAAAACCCUCGUCGCUGGAACAACUUGUAGGUGGAAGCAUGCCAUCGGGUUGUAUGCCAUGUUCAAGACAAUACAAUUCCCAACAAGCAUUGCCCAUUUGGACGCCGCCUUGGCCAAUAUGAACUGACAGUACUUCACGCUAAAAAAUAAUUUUUUUCUUAAGUUUAUCUUAAUCUUAUUUCAUGUUUUUUCUUGAUCUUAUUAAAUAUUUAUUUUUUUGAUAUUAAAUCUACCACUCAUAUUAAUUCUAUUCUUCUUGAAUUAUUAAAUAUAAUUUUUGAAUGUUAUUAAUUGCUAUUAAUAAUAUAUUAUUUGUAUAAUUAUUAAUGUAUAAUAUAUGUAUAAUUUAUAAUUAUAUAAUUAUUAAUUAUUAAUAACAAUGUAAUAGCAAUUAAUUAUUAAUGUUUCGUAAUAAAUUGUUAAAAAUAUAAUUAAAUUGAUAAUAAAUAAAAUAAGAAAUGUAAAUCUUUUGUAUAAGUUAGGAGGAUUUUAAAAUCUUAAGUUUUUAUUUUAUAAAUUAUUAUUUGAAUUAUUAUUUUAGUUAUAUAUAAUAACAUUAAAUAAAUUAAUAAUUACCAUUGUGGCGAAUUAUUGAUUUUCGAUGGAAAAUAAGGUGAGACAAACGUUGACAGGAUGAACGUCCGAAUUCAAUUGAAUCAACGAUACAUUCUGUUAAAAAAUUUUGUUUUUGUUGCUAAGAAACGAUAGUUUCAUUAAAAAUUUAUAUAAUAUCUCUCAAUAAAUUAUUAGGGUGUCCCAUAAAUUUCCUUCUUUUUUCUGAUAUGAAAUGAAUACGCGAUAUUUGUUGUUUAAGAUUGAUUUUAUGAAUUAUAUAUGAUUAUAUAUGAA